This 487-nucleotide unclassified non-coding RNA is filed under the name Hevea brasiliensis (rubber tree). The record is from RNAcentral. Lineage: Eukaryota; Viridiplantae; Streptophyta; Magnoliopsida; Malpighiales; Euphorbiaceae.
CCAAAUCGUUGUAAUUCACCUUUAGAAAAAAUUCCACCUCUAGCACAUUUCAUGGUAUACAUAUAGUCAGUGGGAACAUACGCAAACCCAAGGCUAUCCCAGUCUAUGUCGGCUAAUUCAGUUGUUUCACUGCUGCAAAUAUCAGAUACUGCAGCGUCAGGCCUGAAAGGAGAGACAGCUUGCAGGGCAUUAGAAGAAAGACCCCCCUUUACCAGCUUGAGAGACAAAGAAGAAGGAAAAGGAGAGAAAUGAAGUGAGCGAUGAGAGAAGGAAGGAAGAGGAAGGAGAGAAGAAGAGUUGGGGGAUGAGGAAAGAAGGUAAUUUUGAUGCAAAGUGGCAGUCUCCAUUUGUUUCUUCCUCGAGUCUGGCAGCGAAAGCGAGUGUUUCAAAGAGGAGGAGAAAGGAAGCGAAGGAAGCUAGCUCUGAGCGUGGGACUAAAUCCAUGUGGCCUUUUAUCCUGCGUUCCGCUGACGUACAAAUCUCCAAC